RNAcentral lists this ribosomal RNA (245 nucleotides) under uncultured bacterium. RNAcentral describes it as "partial 16S ribosomal RNA". It matches the Rfam family "Bacterial small subunit ribosomal RNA", at positions 524 to 768 of the family's 1533-position model. The record is from RNAcentral.
UACGGAGGGUGCAAGCGUUAUCCGGAUUUACUGGGUUUAAAGGGUGUGUAGGCGGGCUAUUAAGUCAGUGGUGAAAUCUCCGGGCUCAACCUGGAAACUGCCAUUGAUACUAUUAGUCUUGAAUUCUGUUGAGGUUGGCGGAAUAAGUCAUGUAGCGGUGAAAUGCAUAGAUAUGACUUAGAACACCGAUUGCGAAGGCAGCUAGCUAAGCAGAUAUUGACGCUGAGGCACGAAAGCGUGGGGAU